Non-coding RNA from Theobroma cacao (cacao), 738 nucleotides. Lineage: Eukaryota; Viridiplantae; Streptophyta; Magnoliopsida; Malvales; Malvaceae. The record is from RefSeq and is a predicted model, not a curated record.
CUGCAAAAAAUACUUGUUAGUAAGUGAAAGGGGGCAAAUAAUAUUCUUCCAUAUUGUAGAGAAGUUUCUAUUUACACUCGCAUUUGACAUAAGACGACUUGGUUUGCUCUUGGUUUUUUCGACAAUUACUUCUCUCCACAUGCUCUCUCUUUCCUGCCCAUAACGCCAGAUCCACUUAUUUAACAGGGCCUGUUCUUUGUUUCCAAAUCAGUAAUUCCCAUACCCUACAUUCUCGGUAGUUACACACCUCCUCCCAUUUGAAUAAUGAAUAUUUCGUUUUCCAUCAGAGUCACCCCACAGAAAGUUUCGCUGGAGCUUCUCCAAUCUGUUUCUAAGUGCCAACGGGAUUUUAAAUAAAGACAUAUAGAAGGUAGGCAGGCUCACCAACACCGAUCUAAGCAAGGAAAUUCUGCCCCCAAAUGAAAGAAUCUUCCUGAGAUAUCAGCUCCUAUCAUUAAUAUUUUUUCCCCUUUCUCUCCAGAAGAAAAGAGAAGAGAAGAAAAGAAACGAAGCCCUCGACCUGAGAAAGAAAUGGCGAAAUAGUCGAAGCGUCAGGCGUCGUCCGAUGACGCGCUAUCCAACGGCUCCAAUUUAUCAGAAGAGGAACGAAUCGACGACCAGAUCAACGGCGCGGAAGAGCUCAAAGCCGUUGGUCUCUUUGCCGCCGCCCCUGAUGAAAACGCCAAUGAUGUUGAUGAGGGUGAGUCUAACGGGGCUGACCCAGAGAUUAGUAAUCGA